RNAcentral lists this long non-coding RNA (2612 nucleotides) under Daphnia magna. Its description in RNAcentral is "uncharacterized LOC116925126, transcript variant X1". The record is from RNAcentral. Lineage: Eukaryota; Metazoa; Arthropoda; Branchiopoda; Diplostraca; Daphniidae.
UAAAAUUUAGUUCUGAUUGCGGCUCCGGUGGUAGCAACCACCUAAAAAGACUAGCCCCUCGAACCCGCCAUAUCAACGGCAAAUUCGACAGAAGCUUCGUCGUCAACAGCACCAGUGGCAGAGGAGACAAGUAAAAACCAGAGAUAAGGAGAUGGCUCACUCCACGUAAAGCCCAGCAGUCGACAUUUUCCCUCCUCCCCCUCUCUAGCAGACGAAUUCGACUGCGCUGCUCCUUUCGGCCAGCUCCGGAAGCAUUUGACGGCUGAGGACCACUGGAGGACUGGUUUUACGUUUUGAAACGCAAAUAUAUUCGUAUUUCUUAUUUAUUUAGUUCCGUUCAGUGCACUUUAGUGAUUGAAUUGAUGAAUUGAAAAGAAACAAAGAUGAAAAUUAUGUUUCUACUGAUUCAUAAACAAGUAAAAGAAAGGAAUCUGAAUUUAAGAUAUCUGAGUACAAUUAGUUGGAUUAAUUCAUGAACACUUUCAACAGAAAACUUUUUAACAAUGAGUUUAGAUAACUUUUCUACAACAACGGAAUGAAAAAAUGUUUCAGCUGUGUAAAUCAAGGUCUGGACUUAGAGGAUCAUCACACGAGUUAAACAAGGAAUUUCUUCUGGCAUUGGUUGUUGAAGUGGUCUUUCAACUGACUAGCAUGGAAUUCCUCAUCAGAACAUAUUACUUCAAUAUCCAUCAUGAUAUCCUGAUCAACUGUGAGUUCGUUAACAUCAGAUACAUUAUCUACUGGCAUAAGGGAACAAUUGGAUGACAGUGAAGGGAGUAUUUGGAUUAUUAUUCAAUCCACAACGAAGUCGAAUGAUCCCAAAAAAGUGUUCCAAUGGGUCCUGCUGCAUGUGCCUGGUGGCUACAUAACUCAAUGGGUUGUUCUGCCGAUGAAGAAGCUGGUGGGCUAGAGUUAUAGUUGAUCGUAUCGUUGCGAUAAGUCCAAUAAUACAGGUUUUCCUUCUACUUGUGUAGAAUAAUCUGCCACUUGGAAGUUUUAGUUUAGUUAAAAAGAGCGCUAACUCAUUAAGCUCUUUAGUCUUCUCCUCUAGGUUUUCUUUGGUAAGAACCGCUUUGUCACCAUUUGCUUGAACAUUCCAUGAGUUCAGGAUAUCUAAAAGCUUAUUGAAUUGCCAACAAAACUGUUCGGUGGCCUCACUUCCUUGAAACUAUGUUACCUGAGGAACUUUUAGUACUUCUCGUAAAUGUCGGAGCGGUUCUGCCACGGAUCUACUCAAAACUUAAGCAGCGAGAGCCACCUUCAUCUUAUGUCGCUCGAAGUAUGCGUGUUGUCUUGUAAGUCGAUUACCGAGACGAAAUCCAGCCUCAUUUUGGAAUUGAAAGAGAGCCUUGAUGUACUUCCACUGUGCUGGAUCUUGAUAUCCAGGUAACUUCACCGGUGAAAAAGACAGAAGAUUCCUUGCCAACUUCAGCAUGUGGCACGCAUCAAGUAAAACAUUAACUGGUUCUCCGGUAGAAGGAUGCACGAAGUUUGGUUUAAACGGGCAAGUCAAUUUUUUUUUUCAAAGUCGCAGCUCAUCUUCCUGUCCUUGCUGUUUUCGUUGGCAUUGAUGACGACGAGUAUUUCAGAUUAUUGCGCCUAACUCAGUUGUCAUUUUAACGUUCGCCGCUAACUCAUCGAAUACCACGGAUCUGACAAUAAUCCCAAAUUCGUGUGUCGCCUUGAGUACGUCCUUAAGCAGUCCACCCAAGCGUGUUCCGUCGAUAUGGUUCGUAAAAUAUCAAUCUAUCAAUCAAUAUCAAGCUAUAGUUGUUUCUGUCCAGCGAGCCCCUAGUAAUUUCUCAUAAUUCUGAAUUUGAUCCAUAAAAAAAAUCUCAGCUUUCCCGCCAAUAAAAAACAAAGAAAACAAACAAAAUUAGGUAAAAAUCAUAAAUUUAAAAACAAAAAGUAAAAGCAGGCAGUGACAGUAGCCAUUGAAAUGCAUGCUGCACUUGGAACAGAUGGCUUCAUCAACGUAGGAAGUACAGUUACAUUUAUGAAAGACAACAUCGCUGGAUUAGCUUGCACGAUGUUAGUAGUGUUAAAGAGCAUCAACUGUAUCGCUUACCCAACAAAAUUCCCUAUUAUUCUCCGCUUGACGAGCGACUACAUUUCUUGGAAUCCGACUUCAGUUACAUGAAUGGCAACAAGAAAUCGAAAAUCUUAUUAAAUCAAUGCCUGACAACAACCAGGCGGAAAAAGAUGCUAUAAAGAAAACGAAAAAGAAGUUUCUGGUGCAUGAAACAUAAGAAGUCCUAACUUAUACUACUAUAUCAGCAGUUGCUUGCAUCCGCUAUUUGUUAGAAGAAUUGGGAUUCAAGUAUAUGUACUUACCAGAAGAUUCUCCAGUGACCCCAAUGAACAGUUGUUUGGGGCUAUUCGUCAGUUGAUUAGGGGCAACUUUAAAGGAGAUGCGACGGCUGUUUCUCAUGCGUUUGAAAAGAUAUUUGGGACGGGAAUAGCCUAUAACUCAAUUUACUACAAUACCACAUUGUCUCGCGAAUCUAAAAAGGGUACAAAUUAAUACGCUACUCAGAGAAAUCAAAAAUUGAAAUAGUAAAAGCUUUGCGUUUGUUACCACCGUCGAGUCUCCUUAUACUGAAUGAUCUUAA